Molecule: ribosomal RNA, 487 nt
Filed under: uncultured bacterium
Lineage: Bacteria
Description: partial 16S ribosomal RNA
Source: RNAcentral
GUAGUUAGCCGGGGCUUCCUCCUUGGGUACCGUCACUUUCUUCGUCCCCAAGGACAGAGGUUUACAAUCCGAAAACCUUCUUCCCUCACGCGGCGUUGCUGGGUCAGGCUUUCGCCCAUUGCCCAAUAUUCCCCACUGCUGCCUCCCGUAGGAGUUUGGACCGUCUCUCAGUUCCAAUGUGGCCGAUCAGCCUCUCAGCUCGGCUACCCAUCGUCGACUUGGUGGGCCGUUACCCCGCCAACUAUCUAAUGGGACGCGAACCCCUCCUUCUGCGGAUUGCUCCUUUGACCUCAUCCCGAUGCCGGGUCGUGGUCUUAUGCGGUAUUAGCACUUGUUUCCAGGUGUUAUCCCCCUCAAAAGGUCAGGUUGUUCACGCGUUACUCACCCGUUCGCCACUAAGUAUAAAACCCGAAAUUCUAUACCCCGUUCGACUUGCAUGUGUUAGGCACGCCGCCAGCGUUCGUCCUGAGCCAUGAUCAAACUCUGA